Long non-coding RNA from Salvelinus fontinalis (brook trout), 2286 nucleotides. RefSeq lists it as uncharacterized. Lineage: Eukaryota; Metazoa; Chordata; Actinopteri; Salmoniformes; Salmonidae. The transcript is spliced from 3 exons. The record is from RefSeq and is a predicted model, not a curated record.
AAAGCCGCUGUUUACUUCUAAGAUCACUUUAGCACCGCCCUAAAAACCCGAUUCAAAUUCGACACAAACCUUCAAAUAGGUAUGUAAUGACACAUUAUAUAAACUUUUUAUACUGUUUUAUUUACAUUUUAGAGGCGAUAAGGUGAUAAGUUGGAUAGAUCGAGUGAAAAAAAGCAAUUUCCCCACACAACCUCUCUCCUUCUCACUAUCACGCAUUAGUUUCGCUUCCCCACCCGCCAUUUUUAAAAAGACCCGACGGGGCUCAUUACCUGCUUGAAUUAUGCAGAAACGGGCAGCGUUUAGGUCAUGUAAUUGAUAAUGUUGGAAAGGGGAGAAAUUGUGCUUUACAAUGGUAUUGACAUUACAGUUGAUCUGGAAGUAUUACGUUUUUGGGGCGCUAAAAUAAGGGCAAUUGUACGGACCAAGGCGAUGUACGAGUUUACGUGAGUUUACGUUAAGCUGACAUUGACUAAAACCAACUAGGCUAGAGCUAACUGCUAUAGCUAGCGAACUGUUAAAUGCUAUUUUUGUUCAAAUAUUAACACAAACACAUUGUUUUGUGACGUCACAUAUUUACAUAUAUUACCUAAAGUAAACUGAGCCUUUGUUCAUGGAAAAUAAAACCAAUUGAAUCUAAAACGUUGAAAAAAAAGUACAGAAAGUUUGGACGCCAUGUUAAUCCCUUCUCGUUCAGGUAAAUCAUUAGCAAUCUAGGCUAACUCCAUCAAUUUACCUACAAUGGGGAAAAUACCAACCAGUUUUUCACUCAGUUAAAACUGGCUUCAAACAUCUCCAAACUCAUGGCCUAUGUAAUUAACCAUGUUGCCUCAAUAUUUUGAGUCAUAUUGCAUUUUUGCACGUUACAUACCUGAAUUAAUAGGGUAAAAUGAUGAGACAGAGAAACGUUCGUUUUCAUUACUAGUCAUUCUCCAUAAUGAAUAAGAAAUGUUAAAUACUUCACUAACUCACUUCAUUGACGGCACAGCUCCCCUAGCGGCAAUAAUUAUAUAUAUACAUUAAAUGCAAAUACCUGGGAGGCAAAAUAAAACAUAAAAAAUAUGACCAUACAUAUGUGUGUCACAUACACAUGGCAUAUGCUCGAAUACCACAUAUAACUAAAACAUUGGUAUGAAUACACCAAACGCGAUCACGACACGCAGGUUAAAGUAUCAAAAAAAACUCUGAACCAAUUAUAUUCAUUUGGGGACAGGUCGAAAAGCAUUAAACAUGUAUGGCAAUUUAGCUAGUUAGCUUGCACUUGCUAGCUAAUUUGUCCUAUUUAGCUAGCUUGCUGUUGCUAGUUAAUUUGUCCUGGGAUAUAAACAGUAGGUUGAUAUUUUACCUGAAAUGCACAAGGUCCUCUACUCCGACAAUUAAUCCACACAUAAAACGGUCAACCGAAUCGUUUCUAGUCAUCUCUCCUUCCAGGCUUUUUCAUCUUUUAAUUUAUAUUGAUAUAUAUAUAUAUAUAUUGAUUGGCAUCUAAACUUUCAUAGUAUUACCACGACAACCGGCAACACAGUUCGUCUUUCAAUCACCCACGUGGGUAUAACCAAUGAGGAGAUGGCACGUGGGUACCUGCUUCUAUAAACCAAUGAGGAGAUGGGAGAGGCAGGACUUGCAGCGCGAUCUGCGUCAGAAAUAGAAAGGAGUUCUAUUUUAGCCCUUGGCAUCGCAGACGCUCAGUGAUGCGUGCGAGCAUUGUGGGUGCAAUAAUUGAAUAACAUAGAUUUUUGAAUUUAUUUUGCAACGCGAAGUGCACGUGGAGCCAACAGUGUAGCCAGGGUAUUUUACACUAUGUUGGGAUAAAAAAACAGAGUAUAAUACUUAUAUGGAUGUCAUCCCCAAUACAUGUUCAUGUCAUCUUCACCAAUCAACUGGUUUACACCUAACUUCCAACACCAAUUUCAGGCUAGCUAUGCUACCAUCUUAUCUGAAUGGGAGUUAGCGGGUUAACAAAAAGAAAAUCUAAACCCGAAAAAGGACCACUUCUAAAUAUUAUGCAGCAAAAACAGGCCAAUCUAUAAAAUUCAGAUUUUAGUAACCACAUUGUGGGCUUGUUAGAACACACAAAUUAUGACCGAUUAGACAAAUAUCCACUUUCUUAAACAAGGUUUUUUCAAUGGGCUCCAAUGACAGCGUCCUUGUGCUAUUCCCCACGAAAGAUUAUCUGCAUUGGACCUCUGCAACAGCAUCACAUAACCUAGUGGAAGGCUCUGGUGUUUUCUUCAAUGCCCGCACUAUCCUUUUUAAAACCCCGGAAGGAGGAAGAGGAAGAUGGUCAAG